RNAcentral lists this long non-coding RNA (1467 nucleotides) under Bos grunniens (domestic yak). RNAcentral describes it as "lncRNA (ENSBGRG00000024219.1)". The record is from RNAcentral. Lineage: Eukaryota; Metazoa; Chordata; Mammalia; Artiodactyla; Bovidae.
GGAAUCAUUUUUCAGAGCAUCUCAUUUAUAAAAAGGUCCACACCAUCUGCUGAGAGAAAAAGAAAAAAAGUGGAAGCUGGGAGAGGAAAAUGGGAUAGAAUGGGAUGGUAACAUAUUAUUCUGAUACUAAGUAGGAGACUAGUGUGAACCACUAUGGUGGCAGGAUGGUUUAAACAGCUAGGCGUUAUAGAAACAAAGACUGGAUCACAGGGAGGUCAAGGGAUUUGCCCCAGUCAUGAAGCUACAACUGUUAUCACAAGAAACUGGGAUCAUAAUUAUUAGAGCUGGCAUGUCACUGAAGACCCAGCCAGGGCUGGAGGCAUGCUGUAUGCACAUCAACAUCUUAAUCUUCACGACAACCUCAGGUGGUAGAUAUACUACAAUUGUUCCCAUUUUGCAGAUAAGAAAACAAAGGCUAGCCUUAGGAAUACACACAGAAUUAGGACCCUGCAACCAAAAGACUCUCCUGACAUCCAGGAAUCAGAAGAUUCUGAAAAUCUGAUCCAUGGUAACCGGAUACAGAGCAGGGGUGUGCAAUCAUGGGAAGAGGAUCUGGGGGCUCCCUGUGAGCCAGUCUUUGUUUUUGUAACACCUAACUGGUUGGGCUGUCCUGUCACCCCAGUGGUUCACGCUGUAUCUCCUACUUAGUUCCAGAACGAUAUGUUACCAUCACAUGUGAUACCGAGAUAACAGGCUUCCCAGGUGCAAAGUGGUAAAGACCCUGCCGGCCAAUGCAAGAGACUCAAGAGACAUGGGUUUGAUCCUUGGGUUGGGAAGAUCCCCUGGAGGAGGGCAUGGCAACCUACUUCAGUAUUCUCGCCUGGAGAAUCCCAUGGACAGAGGAGCCUGGCGGGCUACAGCCCAUGGGGUCGCAAAGAGUUGGACAUGACCGUGAUUGCAUAACAACCUGGAUAAUUUUAAUAGACUGUAUUGCCUUGACAGGUUAUGGGGAGAAAGGAAGGGGAUGGGCUGAAGAUUGGUGGGUCAGCCCUGUUCAGGAGUAAGGCUGGGGUGAGGCUACAGCACAGGGUCUGGGGGUGGGACUUGGGUAAUCGAGAGAGCCAGGUGUACCCCUUUUCCCGAUAAUCCCUACAACCAGCCCCGCAGAUGCAGCAGCAGCCACGGGAGCCCUGGGCAUCGUGCAGGAAGUCAUCCCUGGCUGCCUGCUCCUUCCUCCCCCUCCCCUGCUUCUCCCCUUCCUCACCCCAGCCUCUCAGAGCUGCCCGGCUCUCCUGCAGCCACAAUCAUUACAACACUCCUGGGCCUUCCUCCCCUUUAUGGUUGUCAAAUUGAUUUCACCACUGCCAUACCUAUGGCUCCCAAUGAAACUUAAUUAAAAAUACCAUUUAAUCACAAAGUAACAAAGGCAAACUGGAUGAACGGCAUUACCACUUCAGCGCAUUUUAAUCCGCACUGCUCCUCGGUCCUUCUCAAUCUGUUUGGAUGAGAAUUGCCUUUUCAAAUAAG